This 255-nucleotide ribosomal RNA is filed under the name uncultured bacterium. RNAcentral's name for it is "partial 16S ribosomal RNA". It matches the Rfam family "Bacterial small subunit ribosomal RNA", at positions 524 to 777 of the family's 1533-position model. The record is from RNAcentral.
GACGAACCGUGCGAACGUUAUUCGGAAUCAUUGGGCUUAAAGGGCGCGUAGGCGGGUGACCGCGUCGAGUGCUGAAAGCCCCCGGCUCAACCGGGGAAUGGGUCUCGAAACGGGUCCCCUGGAGGCGAGGAGGGGGACCUGGAACUUCCGGUGGAGCGGAGAAAUGCGUUGAGAUCGGAAGGAACGCCGAUGGCGAAUGCAAGGUCCUGGACUCGUCCUGACGCUGAGGCGCGAAAGCCAGGGGAGCGAACGGGG